CGGGAAACUGGGGAUAAUACCCUAUAGAAUAUGGAUGCUGGAAUGCAAUGUAGCCGAAAGGUCCGCCGCCAUAGGAUGGGUCUGCGGCCGAUUAGGUUGUUGUUGGGGUAACGGCCCAACAAGCCUGUAAUCGGUACGGGUUGUGGGAGCAAGAGCCCGGAGAUGGAUUCUGAGACACGAAUCCAGGACCUACGGGGCGCAGCAGGCGCGAAAACUUUGCAAUGCGGGAAACCGUGACAAGGGAACUCUGAGUGCCCGUAACAUCGGGCUGUCCAUCAGUUUAAAAAACUGGUGAAGAAAGGGCCGGGCAAGACCGGUGCCAGCCGCCGCGUAACA
RNAcentral lists this ribosomal RNA (336 nucleotides) under uncultured archaeon. RNAcentral's name for it is "partial 16S ribosomal RNA". It matches the Rfam family "Archaeal small subunit ribosomal RNA", at positions 133 to 475 of the family's 1478-position model. The record is from RNAcentral.